AUUGAACGCUGGCGGCAGGCCUAACACAUGCAAGUCGAGCGGAUGAAGGGAGCUUGCUCCUGGAUUCAGCGGCGGACGGGUGAGUAAUGCCUAGGAAUCUGCCUGGUAGUGGGGGAUAACGUCCGGAAACGGGCGCUAAUACCGCAUACGUCCUGAGGGAGAAAGUGGGGGAUCUUCGGACCUCACGCUAUCAGAUGAGCUUAGGUCGGAUUAGCUAGUUGGUGGGGUAAAGGCCUACCAAGGCGACGAUCGGUAACUGGUCUGAGAGGAUGAUCAGUCACACUGGAACUGAGACACGGUCUAGACUCCUACGGGAGGCAGCAGUGGGGAAUAUUGGACAAUGGGCGAAAGCCUGAUCCAGCCAUGCCGCGUGUGUGAAGAAGGUCUUCGGAUUGUAAAGCACUUUAAGUUGGGAGGAAGGGCAGUAAGUUAAUACCUUGCUGUUUUGACGUUACCAACAGAAUAAGCACCGGCUAACUUCGUG
RNAcentral lists this ribosomal RNA (484 nucleotides) under uncultured bacterium. RNAcentral's name for it is "partial 16S ribosomal RNA". It matches the Rfam family "Bacterial small subunit ribosomal RNA", at positions 30 to 507 of the family's 1533-position model. The record is from RNAcentral.